CCCCCUGUAGCUCAGCUGGCUAGAGCGCCGGAUUGUGGUUCCGGAGGUCAGUGGUUCGAGCCCACUCGGGGGGACAA
Molecule: transfer RNA, 77 nt
Filed under: Bacteroidota bacterium
Lineage: Bacteria; Pseudomonadati; Bacteroidota
Description: Bacteroidetes bacterium tRNA-His
Rfam family: tRNA
About the family: Transfer RNA (tRNA) molecules are approximately 80 nucleotides in length. Their secondary structure includes four short double-helical elements and three loops (D, anti-codon, and T loops). Further hydrogen bonds mediate the characteristic L-shaped molecular structure. tRNAs have two regions of fundamental functional importance: the anti-codon, which is responsible for specific mRNA codon recognition, and the 3' end, to which the tRNAs corresponding amino acid is attached (by aminoacyl-tRNA synthetases). tRNAs cope with the degeneracy of the genetic code in two manners: having more than one tRNA (with a specific anti-codon) for a particular amino acid; and 'wobble' base-pairing, i.e. permitting non-standard base-pairing at the 3rd anti-codon position.
Source: RNAcentral